This is a long non-coding RNA of Dama dama (fallow deer), 4342 nucleotides long. RefSeq lists it as uncharacterized. The transcript has 3 exons. Lineage: Eukaryota; Metazoa; Chordata; Mammalia; Artiodactyla; Cervidae. The record is from RefSeq and is a predicted model, not a curated record.
CCUAUCACUUUGGAAAAUCAAUGGGUUGCUAUGAACCGCUGGAGCAGGACGGAAGAUGAGGCAGGGCUGACAGCAAUAGGAAGUUUCUGAGGUUAAGCAGGACAUGAUCAGAAUUGUGCUUCAGAGAGAAUUUAGGUGUCAUCAGGAAGGUCGGUGAACUGGAGGCAGAAGGGUGUGUAAGAAGAUAGAUGUAGAAGAUAGUGGUGGUGGAAAGUAGGAGUCACUUUCAAAGGUAGAAGUCAACAUUCAUUUGUUUGAAAGGUGUUAAGUAGCUUCUGUAAUUGGCACCAUGCCUGGUACUGUGGCUAAAGAGGUAGGAAUUUAUCUCAGAAGGAAUUCAUAGACUUAAUUGGGACAACAGAUAAAUGAUUGCAAUACAGUGUAAUAUGUGUAAUAAUAAAGUACAUUGAAUGGGGAUAUAACAGGAAACAAUUUGCUUGCAAGUUUCCUGGGAGACAGAAGAGUCAACCUGGAUUCUGAAAGAUGAGGAGUUGAUACGUGGCCAAGAAAGCUGGGUGACUGGAGGAUGGAUGGCAGAUAAACAGAAGAUUGCACAUUACUUGGUACGGCUGCAACAGAGACUGAUUUUAGUACCUUCUAUGCCAUGAAAUAUGGAUGUCUGUCUGAAAAAGUCAUGACUUUAAACUUCCACCGAGGGGGCAGCCAUGCUUCCUAGUUUACAAGGAAAAAAAGUGCGGACUUCCCUGGUGAUCCAGUGGUUGGAGAACCCCCUUGCAGUUUCAUUCCUUGGUCCAGGAAGAUCCCACAUACUGCAACCAAGUCUGUGGCCACAACUACUGAGUCUGUGCGCUCUAGGACCCAUGGUCCACAACAGAAGAAACCACUGAAGUGAGAAGCCAGCGCACUGCAAUGAAGAGUAGCCGCAGCUCUUCGCAGUUAGAGAAAGCCACGUGCAGCAAUGAAGACCUAGCACCGCCGUAAAGAAAUAAGUAUUAAAAACAGAAAAAAUGCAACUAUUCUUAAAAGCCAAGUGAAAUGCAGUAGAGUCAUAUUUUCCUUUCAAGAGUGGCAAAACAGAACAAUCUCCGCAAGUCUUGAGAUUUGACUCAAUCUUGCAUAGUUUUUUUCUUUUUUUUUUUUAACUCCCAGAAAAUACCUACUAAUCAGUUUUCCCUCUUCUGCAAAAAUAAGUAAGCACUUUUAUUGACUUUAGUAUCAGCAUUAUGUCUGUGAAACAGCUCUCUGGGAGAACCUUAAAAAGGAUGUGAAAGCAAAAGAGCUGUCUCUAAGUUAAAUUUACAUUUUAUGACAAUUUAGGAAUUUCCUGUUCGUGUUUCAAUUACCCAGCUGGAUUUUGACACUUUUCGGGCUGGGAUCACAUGUCAGAUACCUUUGUAUCCCCAUUCCUCACUCAGCACACUGCCCAGCACAUGCUAAAGUAGUCAGAGAAAAGGUGUGGAAUGAAUGAACAAGUUGGCUUCCGUAGCUUCUCUCUUUGUUUUAAAUCAACAAUUGAGCAGUGCACGCCUGUGCGGAAGGAGUUUAUAAGCAGAACUCAUGCAUUGUGUAGCUACUGAAUGAUCAACAGAUGCUCAACAAUACUGUGACAUUGUAAAUAUAUUUUUUGCAGUGGCAGCUGCUUCUGACAAAAAAAAAAAAAAAAAACCUAGACAUAAAAAAAAAAAGCUAGAUGUGCUAGACAAAGAAUGCAGGAAAUUAAGAUAAGUUGUGCCCAGCAGUUAAUUUAUAAAAAUGACUGAGUGAAAACACCAGGUCAAUGCCAUUGUAAAAAAAGUUGUCUUCGAAAUGAAAGGCAUGUCAUGCCAUGCGUGGCCACAAGGGGCGCACCAGAGUCAGUCUGAAGGAAGAGAGGUGUUCUUUGCUCUGUCCUACCUGACUCUUUGUGACCCCAUGGACUGUAACCCGCCAGGCUCCUCUCUGUCCAUGGAAUUCUCCAGGCAAGAAUACUGGUGAGGGUAGCCAGCCAUUCCCUUCUCAGGGGAUCUUCCCCGACCCAGGGAUACGAACCCAAGUCUUUUGCGUUGCAGGCAGAUUCUUUACCAUCUGAGCCACCAGGGAAGCCUGAAGGAAGAGAGGAGGGGAGGCAAAGCGCAGGUCACAGUCUUUGUUAUGUUUUCUGUGGGAAAAGCAAGGCAGAGAAAGGCAAACAUUCGGAUAUCUGAGUAAUUCCAGCGAACUUUGGGGGACAGGCUGUCUGUUGUCCCUGUUGUCUGGUAUCUGAUCUUGGGAUGAUUUAGGGCAGGGGAAAUACUGGCUAUGUAUGUAUGUGACUGCUACCUAAAGGAGGUGGUUGAUGGUGCGGAGUUUGAAUUGGUUGGUUUGUAUAGGAAGGCUGGGUUCAUCAACCAACAUACUGUUUCCUAUCUCAGAAAUUAGCCAGCCCUAAAGGGCAGUCCCUUCCCCAGCCAGCAAAGCCCCCAAAGAUGUCAAAACCUCAUAAGAUAUAGAACAUAGGUAUAAUUAAUGCAUAAAAUCCCAGAGCUUAAAUGUUAUGACAAGAAGUAUAUGAAUGAGAAAUUUUUACCUAUACCCGUUAAUGUGGUACUGCUUUAGGCGUGUGUUAAAUCUGUAUGUUAACUUGAAAAGCAAUGCCAUCUUCACUACAGUUACUCUUCUUGUCCAUGAGUAUUUCUCUGUUUCAGGGUUCCUUUAUUUCUUUUUAUUUCUUUUAAUAAGUUUUAUAAAUUUUCUCUGAGUAGCUUUUAUUAUCUAAGUUAUAUUAUUCCCAAUAUACUCCUUCUUACUAUUAUAAAUAGGAUUAAAAAAGAAGAAAAAAUUUUUCUUACUUAUAUCACUCAUAUAUUGAAGUGAAAUUAUUUUUUGUGGCUGUAUGUAUUGUAAUAUCUUGCAAAUUUGCAGAGUUAAUUUAUUGGGAUGGCCAAAAUGUUAGUAUUUCUCUAAGAUAUCAAAAACCUAAAUGAAACUUUAGGCCAAUCCAAUAUUAUCUUUAAUAAAUCUUUAGUUUAAAAAAAAUUUUGCUAUUAAAAACUUGAAAAUUUAUAUAAGUACCCAUCACCCAGGCUCAACAGUUACUGAAAUGUUACCUUAUUUCUUCUAUUUCCCCUCUCCCAUACAUUCAGGUCCUUCAGUUCUGCUUAAGAUGCCCAAUAAUGUCCUGUAAUAUUUUUCUGGCUCCAGCAAAGUUAUUCACAUGUCUGGAAAGUUUCUGAAUCUCUGUACUUUUUUCCUUUCUCAUGUUUGAUUGUGCUGUUUUGUUUUUUACUACUUUCCAUGCUGACUUUUUGUCUCUGUUCCCAACUUUGAAUAUCUAUUUAAAUUCAGAGUCAACAAAAGAAGGGAGAUAAUCCUAAAACUGGAGAAGGAAAUGGCAGCCCAUUCCAGUAUUCUUGCCUGGAGAAUCCCAUGGACAGAAGAGCCUGGUGGGCUACAGUCCAUGGGGUUGCAAGAGUCGGACAUGGCUUAGCAACUAAACCAAACCAACCUGUGUGAGUGAGGACUUCCUUUUGUUCUGAUUUCUGUCCGAUGGCAUGGUAAUGGAAUCUUCCUUUAAAAUCUGUGUUUAGAGGGAAGACUGAUAUGACAGCCUCUUUCUCAGUUUCCAGCAACUUUUCACUUAGUAUACUCCUGCUCUGUUGAAGUUGCAUCUCUCCCUUACUCCUUUUGCUGGCUCUUCUAUGAGUCUCCAGUACAUGAGGAGUUGUGGUUUUUAAAAAGUGCUGCCACAGUAAGGUUUUUCCCUGUUUCCUCUUCUAACUCUGAGUCACGCACAGCAAAACAAGAAGCCCCAGCUAUAGGUAUGAUUAUUUUUUCUUUUUAGAAUUAUUUGUUUAUUAUUGACUGCACUGGGACUUCGUUGCUGCAUGAACGUUUUCUCUUGUCACAGUGCACCAGCUUCUCACUGCAGUGGCUUCUCUUGUGGAGCACAUGCUGUAGGUGCUUCAGUUGCUUUGCAGCAUGUGGGAGCUUCCUAGACAAGGGCUCGAACCAAUUCCCCUGCAUUGACAGGUGGAUUCUUAACCCCUGGACCACAGGGAAAACCCGGAUUUUUUAGUGGGGGAGGUUGGUGGGGAUGUGGAGAAUGGUGAUCUUUUAAAAAAUUUAUUUAUUUUAGUUGGAUAAUAAUUACUUUACAAUAUUGUUAAGGUUUUUGCCAUAUUUCGACAUGACUCAGCCUCAGGUACAUGAGUGCCCCAUUCUGAAACCCCUCCCACCUCCUUCUUGACCCCAUCGCUCUGGGUGGUCCCAGAGUACCUGCUUUGGGUGCCCUGCUUCAUGCUUCACUUGCAUUGGUCAUCUGUUUUACACAUGGUAAUGUACAUGUUUCAAUGCUAUUCUCUCAAAUCAUCCCACCCUUGCCUUCUCCCACAGAGUCUAAAAGUCUGUUCUUUUUUUUUUUUUU